CAGCAGCCGCGGGAAUACAGAGGGUGCGAGCGUUAAUCGGAUUUACUGGGCGUAAAGCGUGCGUAGGCGGCUUCUUAAGUCGGAUGUGAAAUCCCUGAGCUUAACUUAGGAAUUGCAUUCGAUACUGGGAAGCUAGAGUAUGGGAGAGGAUGGUAGAAUUCCAGGUGUAGCGGUGAAAUGCGUAGAGAUCUGGAGGAAUACCGAUGGCGAAGGCAGCCAUCUGGCCUAAUACUGACGCUGAUGUACGAAAGCAUGGGGAGCAAACAGGAUUAGAUACCCCCGUAGUCCCUGUCUCUUAUAC
RNAcentral lists this ribosomal RNA (301 nucleotides) under uncultured bacterium. RNAcentral describes it as "partial 16S ribosomal RNA". It matches the Rfam family "Bacterial small subunit ribosomal RNA", at positions 509 to 807 of the family's 1533-position model. The record is from RNAcentral.